Molecule: ribosomal RNA, 301 nt
Filed under: uncultured bacterium
Lineage: Bacteria
Description: partial 16S ribosomal RNA
Rfam family: Bacterial small subunit ribosomal RNA
Source: RNAcentral
CAGCCGCCGCGGUAAUACAGAGGAUGCAAGCGUUAUCCGGAAUGAUUGGGCGUAAAGCGUCUGUAGGUGGCUUUUCAAGUCCGCCGUCAAAUCCCAGGGCUCAACCCUGGACAGGCGGUGGAAACUACCAAGCUGGAGCACGGUAGGGGCAGAGGGAAUUUCCGGUGGAGCGGUGAAAUGCGUCGAGAUCGGAAAGAACACCAACGGCGAAAGCACUCUGCUGGGCCGACACUGACACUGAGAGACGAAAGCUAGGGGAGCAAAUGGGAUUAGAUACCCCCGUAGUCCCUGUCUCUUAUAA